This 253-nucleotide ribosomal RNA is filed under the name uncultured bacterium. RNAcentral's name for it is "partial 16S ribosomal RNA". It matches the Rfam family "Bacterial small subunit ribosomal RNA", at positions 524 to 776 of the family's 1533-position model. The record is from RNAcentral.
UACAGAGGGUGCGAGCGUUGUUCGGAAUUACUGGGCGUAAAGCGCGUGUAGGCGGUUCAUUAAGUCAGAUGUGAAAUCCCCGGGCUCAACCUGGGAACUGCAUUUGUGACUGUAGAGCUGGAGUACGGCAGAGGGGGAUGGAAUUCCGCGUGUAGCAGUGAAAUGCGUAGAUAUGCGGAGGAACACCGAUGGCGAAGGCAAUCCCCUGGGCCUGUACUGACGCUCAUGCACGAAAGCGUGGGGAGCAAACAGG